UACGGAGGGUGCAAGCAUUAAUCGGAAUUAUUGGGCGUAAAGGGCGCGUAGGCGGAUGUAAAAGUCAGAUGUGAAAUUCCGGGACUCAAUUCCGGAGCUGCAUUUGAAACUUUAGAUCUAGAGGGAUGGCGGAGAAAACGGAAUUCCACGUGUAGCGGUGAAAUGCGUAGAUAUGUGGAAGAACACCUGUGGCGAAAGCGGUUUUCUAGCUAUAACCUGACGCUGAGGCGCGAGAGCAAGGGGAGCAAACAGG
RNAcentral lists this ribosomal RNA (253 nucleotides) under uncultured Simkania sp. Its description in RNAcentral is "partial 16S ribosomal RNA". It matches the Rfam family "Bacterial small subunit ribosomal RNA", at positions 524 to 776 of the family's 1533-position model. Lineage: Bacteria; Pseudomonadati; Chlamydiota; Chlamydiia; Parachlamydiales; Simkaniaceae. The record is from RNAcentral.